Molecule: small nucleolar RNA, 83 nt
Organism: Patagioenas fasciata monilis
Lineage: Eukaryota; Metazoa; Chordata; Aves; Columbiformes; Columbidae
Rfam family: Small nucleolar RNA SNORD53/SNORD92
About the family: U53 is a member of the C/D class of snoRNA which contain the C (UGAUGA) and D (CUGA) box motifs. Most of the members of the box C/D family function in directing site-specific 2'-O-methylation of substrate RNAs. The human orthologue HBII-316 (SNORD92) is predicted to guide the 2'O-ribose methylation of 28S rRNA A3846.
Source: Rfam
CUGCUGUGAUGAUACCUCAAGUGUGGUUUCAACUUGCCGAGAAUUGAAUGAGGAUGUUAAAUUCCUUGGCUGUGUCUGAGCAC